Molecule: long non-coding RNA, 1100 nt
Filed under: Helianthus annuus (common sunflower)
Lineage: Eukaryota; Viridiplantae; Streptophyta; Magnoliopsida; Asterales; Asteraceae
Description: hypothetical non coding rna
Source: RNAcentral
UCUCAUUUCAAAACCCUAGUUUCUCUUCAACAACUUGCAACAAUUCACACCCCAUUUCAACUAUUCUCCAACGGUACAGUUUCCCCCUUCAUAACCUCCACAACUUCCUCAAAUCAAACCAAUUCUUACUCAACUCCAACGUCACAUACAUCGAAACAUCAAUAAAAAUCCUAUCUUUAUUCAAGUCUUCCACCAAUUUCAUCACACCCACUGUUUCCAACUGCCCUAGGGUUCUAGACCUCAAUUUUCUCAAUAAUUGGGAACUGGGUAUUUCAACUAGCCACCACCACCACCCACCCCUUACAACCAGCCACCACCACCACCACUUGACCAUCGCAACCCCCCCUCUCUCAAUCCCAUCCGGCGACACCAUCAACCAUCGCAACCCCCCUCUCUUUCUCAUUCCCUCCGGCGACACCAACAAUCGACACCAUCAACCAUCAAGAACCACCAUUGUCUCCACCGCACCACUGACCUACCGCCAUCAAAGUAGACGCACCAACCACCAUCAUCUCUGACGAACAAAAACAAGCAGUCGGUUUUUUUUUUCAAUUUGCAGAUUGGUUUGAAGGCUUGAAUCGGAGGUUAAUUUGGGUUUUAUUUGUGAGGCUGUAAAUUGAUGAUGGUUUUUUUCAAUUUGUAUAUUUGUGCGAAUGCAGGAGAUGUUUAUGUCUUGGAUCUCAUGAUAUGAUGCCAAUUUGGGUUUUAUUUGUGAAGCUUUGGAUUUAUGGUGGUGUUGGAAGGAGAUGAUGGUGGAAGGAGGCAGUGGUACAGAGGAUGGACGAUCAGAAGAAUGGGUGUUUGUUUAAAGAAAGAGAGAGAUAAAUGAUAUAUAAUAUUUUUUUUCUUUUAUAUGUAUUUUUAAAGAAUAGGGUGAAAAGACAAUUUUACCCUCAUGUGCAUUGCACAUGAACAUAUUUAAUAGAAGAAUCUAACUGGGUUAGGGUUAAAGGACAAAACUUGUAUGAUUUGAAAACAUAAAGUACAAAACUCGUCACUUUUAAAAAUAAAUGACAACGCCUGAAAAUGUAUAUAAAGAUAAAGAACAAUCCUUGAAAUUCACUCUAAAAAUAAAUUAUGUAAGAUUAAAUUAAAACUUU